This 113-nucleotide transfer RNA is filed under the name Lachnospiraceae bacterium. Its description in RNAcentral is "tRNA-OTHER". It matches the Rfam family "tRNA". From Rfam's summary of the family: Transfer RNA (tRNA) molecules are approximately 80 nucleotides in length. Their secondary structure includes four short double-helical elements and three loops (D, anti-codon, and T loops). Lineage: Bacteria; Bacillati; Bacillota; Clostridia; Lachnospirales; Lachnospiraceae. The record is from RNAcentral.
GGAGCUGUAGCUCAGAUGGGUAGAGCAGUGAAAAAGGAGCUUUGAUAAAAGCUCAUGCAGCAAUUUUACAUGGAUGAUCCCACGUGUCGCAGGUUCGAAUCCUGUCAGCUCCA